RNAcentral lists this small RNA (2168 nucleotides) under Rattus norvegicus (Norway rat). RNAcentral describes it as "uncharacterized LOC102550655". The record is from RNAcentral. Lineage: Eukaryota; Metazoa; Chordata; Mammalia; Rodentia; Muridae.
CAGCGGAAGUGAAACCGUCACAGCGGAAGUGAAAACGUCACAGCGGAAGUGAAAACGUCACAGUGGUACUGUUCUUGCUCCUUGGGAAAUGGUGAAAGAAUGACACGGACCGUCAAUAGAGCCUGUAACGAACACAAGUUUACACCUUCUUCCUUUGAGAGAACCCAUCACUGUGUGAGUCGCUGUGACUCCCACAGCUGCAUCCGUCCUAGCCCAGGAAGAAGAGCAGGACCCGCAGAAUGGAGACCAGAGCUGACUGACAUGUCCCGCUCGAUAUGCUUCCCGCUAUUGGCCUGUCUGCUCAUCUCUGUAGUUUCUCGCGGUGGCGAUUCAACCGCAAAACUGGACAACUCUAUCAGGAAUUAUAAUUUUCUGUGCUACGUUUAACUUUGGCUAGGGAUUUAUUUCCCUUUGAAUCUUUGGGUUGGACAAACAUUUAAUCAUCCCACCGUUCAAAAGUUGUCGUUGCUUAUGUGGCAUAGGCGGGCGUGGCUGCUAUGAUGAGCAAGGAUGGGGUGGAGAGAUGAGAAUGAAAGAGAAGCAGAAUGGUUUGAGCACUGUGAAGAGAGGUAGAGCCAGAGAUGCGAAAUGGUGGGGGACAGCCAGAUGUGAGUAGCCUGAGAUGCCACCUGAGGCCAUGGUGAGGUCCUGGCCAUCCUGCCACCGAGGCCGUGUCUGUGUCUCAGACCUUUUGUCUAUUCGUGAUCCAUGUUACCACCAAAGGCCAUGUGGAUGACCCUGGUCUGGGUUGCUGUCAGGGGCCAUGUUUGAUGCCCAAGGACUGUACAGAGUAGUUGAUCACCUCAUCUCGGCACACAGUAGAGCUGGCCCUGGUGGCAGGGUAUGGGUGAGCUGGCCCUGCCCCUUGUGGUUGAGUGGUGGCAGUGGGCACAGGAGAGAUAACGCCCUCCAUCCCCUGUGGCAGGCUGGAGAGCAGGUUCUGCCCCUCACUAGGGCAGUGAUGGAGAACUGGUCCUGAUGGCUUGGGUGCAGAAAGCUUGUCCUAGCAGGCAGGAGAGCUCACUCACUCCUCACUAGGCAAAGCAGGAGAUCUGACCCUGGCAGUACAGGUCUAGGAGAUCUUGCUGGUAGGCUAAUUCAGUUCCCACCCAGCCCAGAUCCAGAACUUUGAAUUGGACCAUCCCAACGUUCACCCCAUCUAUGAACUGAGAGAGUAUGUGUAGGGGCUGCUGGUCCUGUCAAAUCGAAGCUGCAGGAUCUCCAUGACACAGAGGUGGCUGACUGCCAAACGGGGAGUGGUAGGAAAUCUGUUUCAUGCCUUCAAUAUAUAAAAGGUAGAAAGAUCAUGAAGUAGCCCGAAGCAGAUAAAUAUUGACCCAGUAGAACAUGCGUGCUACCAAGAAUUAGAAUUAAUUUUGUCACGGGACGAGGCCAGGUACAAAUAGGUAGUUCUUCAGCGGCUGUAACUGAACGACAAGAUAAUUCUAUCCAUUUAAUAUUGAAGUGAUGUUGACAGCAUCGUUCUUCUCAGGUUGGAAACAGGACAGCGCCUGGGCCUCUUCUGCUUCAGCCUGUUCCGCCAGUGGGUGAUGGAUUUCCCUCUGACUAAUCGCUGUCACAUUAACCCGCAGUAUUUCAUCCUUCAGUGCUGUCAAGAUAAUGACGAUAAUCCAAGUGGCUCAUUGUAGGUGAACUCGGAGCCAGAAGAGGGACACGCUGUCUGGAACCGCAGGCUGUGGACCCCCUAAGCUGUGAGGGCUGAGAACCGAAUUCCGGUCCUCUGCAAGGGCAGCAAGUGCCGUUGCCACAGCCUUUUUGUUUGUUUGUUUGUUUGUUUGUAUGUUUGACUUUUUUAUGAAAAGCAACUCCAUGUACAAAUGAUACCAUCCAAGGUUUUUCUUUCUCUGUAUGGAUCACUUCGUUUGCAUAACGACAUCCAUAAAGCUUAUUUGUUAUACGGCCAACGGCAAGAUCUCAUUCUUUCCAAGGCUGAAUAAUAUUCCACUAUAUUUAAUACAAUGUACUAUUUAUUUAUUCACCAACAGAGUUACAUUGAUGCCAUACCUUGGUCUAUUAUAGAUAACAUUAAAAUGAGAAUUAAAGUGCAGAUGUGUUUUUGAUGUAUCAAUUCCAAUCUCUUUCUCUCUCUCUCUCUCUCUCUCUCUCUCUCUCUCUCUCACACACACACACACACACACACACACACA